This 468-nucleotide ribosomal RNA is filed under the name uncultured bacterium. RNAcentral describes it as "partial 16S ribosomal RNA". It matches the Rfam family "Bacterial small subunit ribosomal RNA", at positions 28 to 507 of the family's 1533-position model. The record is from RNAcentral.
GACGAACGCUGGCGGCGUGCUUAACACAUGCAAGUCGAACGGAAAGGCCCUGCUUUUGUGGGGUGCUCGAAUGGCGAACGGGUGAGUAACACGUGAGUAACCUGCCCUUGACUUUGGGAUAACUUCAGGAAACUGGGGCUAAUACCGGAUAGGAGCUCCUGCUGCAUGGUGAGGGUUGGAAAGUUUCGGCGGUUGGGGAUGGACUCGCGGCUUAUCAGCUUGUUGGUGGGGUAGUGGCUUACCAAGGCUUUGACGGGUAGCCGGCCUGAGAGGGUGACCGGACACAUUGGGACUGAGCUACGACCCAGACUACUACGGGAGGCAAGAGUGGGGAAUAUUGCACAAUGGGCGGAAGCCUGAUGCAGCAACGCCGCGUGCGGGAUGACGGCCUUCGGGUUGUAAACCGAUUUCGCCUGAGACGAAGCGUGAGUGACGGUAAUGAGUAAAGAAGCACCGGCUAACUACGUG